CCAGACUCCUACGGGAGGCAGCAGUAGGGAAUCUUCGGCAAUGGGGGCAACCCUGACCGAGCAACGCCGCGUGAGUGAAGAAGGUUUUCGGAUCGUAAAGCUCUGUUGUAAGUCAAGAACGAGUGUGAGAGUGGAAAGUUCACACUGUGACGGUAGCUUACCAGAAAGGGACGGCUAACUACGUGCCAGCAGCCGCGGUAAUACGUAGGUCCCGAGCGUUGUCCGGAUUUAUUGGGCGUAAAGCGAGCGCAGGCGGUUUGAUAAGUCUGAAGUUAAAGGCUGUGGCUCAACCAUAGUUCGCUUUGGAAACUGUCAAACUUGAGUGCAGAAGGGGAGAGUGGAAUUCCAUGUGUAGCGGUGAAAUGCGUAGAUAUAUGGAGGAACACCGGUGGCGAAAGCGGCUCUCUGGUCUGUAACUGACGCUGAGGCUCGAAAGCGUGGGGAGCGAACAGGAUUAGAUACCCUGGUAGUCCACGCCGUAAACGAUGAGUGCUAGGUGUUGGAUCCUUUCCGGGAUUCAGUGCCGCAGCUAACGCAUUAAGCACUCCGCCUGGGGAGUACGACCGCAAGGUUGAAACUCAAAGGAAUUGACGGGGGCCCGCACAAG
RNAcentral lists this ribosomal RNA (607 nucleotides) under uncultured bacterium. Its description in RNAcentral is "bacterial SSU rRNA". It matches the Rfam family "Bacterial small subunit ribosomal RNA", at positions 331 to 929 of the family's 1533-position model. The record is from RNAcentral.